UGAAAAAAAAAUAUAACUAUUCUUUCAAAGCAUUGGCUCUAUAAUUAUUCAUUUGAUAUUCAAGAAAGAGCUCAAUUACAAUUUAAAUCGAUCUAUAUCUUAUUACAAAAUAAAUUUAUUACAUUAAAGCAAUAUAUUGACAAGAAUUUAGUUAAAAACUUCAUAUAUGAAUCAAAAUUUCCAACAUGAGCUCCUCUCUUAUUUAUAAAGAAAAAAGAUGGAUCUCUAUGGUGUCAUAAUAUGUGAAGUCUUGCUUGAGAAUGCUCCGGGCACCAAGCUAUGAAAGGAAGAAUAGAAAUUGCAAUAACAAAAUCCUCAUACUAAUAGAAUACUAAAAAUUCUCUAAUUAGAUGAUAAUAAUGCUAAGCAAGCUUAAUCAAAUUCAAAAAAACCUCAAAGAAAUUUCAAACAAACAAUAAGAAUUCUUAAAGAAAUAUUAGAAGGAUCACAAAUAUCACUCAAAUACAUCUCAAUUCAAUCUUAAUUUAAUACUAGUUAAAAUCCUAUUGAACUUCAUUCAAACUUUAGGCCAAAACUAAUUAAAUCUUAAAUCCUAAUAAAAUCCUAAACCCUAAAUCAAAUCCUAAACAAACCUUAAACCAAACCCCAAUUAAAUCCUAAAUCAAACCCUAACCAAAUCCUAAUCUAAAUCUUAAAUCCUAAAUCAAAUCCUAAUCAAAUCCUAAACCCAAAUCCUAAAAAAACUUAAACCAAACCCUAAAUCCUAUUCAAACCCUAACCAAAU
This 745-nucleotide long non-coding RNA is filed under the name Physcomitrium patens. RNAcentral's name for it is "long non-coding RNA (PPAT_LNC013108)". The record is from RNAcentral. Lineage: Eukaryota; Viridiplantae; Streptophyta; Bryopsida; Funariales; Funariaceae.